UUUAAACCAAACCCGCCCUCACACUCCCACUCAUUGCUCAUACAAGCCACAACCCCUCUGCCACUGUCUUGAUCCAGCACCCCCUUCUCCCAUCACGAUACCCACCUCCUCACCACCAUAAUAACUAAACCUGCAGCAGAAAUGACAGGGAACCAAACCAUGCAACAGAAAACAAGGACAUCCUCUAGUCCAUUCCAUAAAGAGGGUGGGUAACCCAGUGCAUGAAGCAUCUCACACUCAUGAGCUUCAGAGAGAAUUGAUGUACACAGUCUUACCCCUUGUUUCCAGAGAGGCUGUUUCCAUAUCCUUCGUCCAUUCCAUCCAAAGGCAAAUAUCAAAACGAAAAAAGAUUUCCAUUGGGGCUGAGUUGCAAUUCUACACAAUAGAUCAUUCCUCAACCAGCCCCAUUCACGCAAUAACAGCAUAUCAAUUUAAAAGAUGGGAAAACUAAAAAUAAUUAGAAACCCACUCAAACAAACUUCAGCAUCAGAACUCAAAUGACAAAUACUAACUACUAG
Molecule: unclassified non-coding RNA, 518 nt
Filed under: Hevea brasiliensis (rubber tree)
Lineage: Eukaryota; Viridiplantae; Streptophyta; Magnoliopsida; Malpighiales; Euphorbiaceae
Source: RNAcentral